UACGAGGGGGGCAAGUGUUGUUCGGAAUUACUGGGCGUAAAGGGAGCGUAGGCGGGCUCUUAAGUUGGAUGUUUAAAACCGGGGCCUAACCCCGGCGUGGCAUCCAAAACUGGGAGUCUUGAAUGGGACAGAGGCCAGUGGAAUUAGAGGUGUAGCGGUGGAAUGCGUAGAUAUCUCUAAGAACACCAGUUGCGAAGGCGGCUGGCUGGGUCCACAUUGACGCUGAGGCUCGAAAGCGUGGGGAGCAAACAGG
Molecule: ribosomal RNA, 253 nt
Filed under: uncultured bacterium
Lineage: Bacteria
Description: partial 16S ribosomal RNA
Rfam family: Bacterial small subunit ribosomal RNA
Source: RNAcentral